UAUGUUUGGGACUUAGAAGUUCUUGAUGUUCUGUGAGUAUCAGCAAUGUUUGAACACGACGUUCAAACAAGCCGCCAGUGAGCCAUGGAGGGCGAAUUGGGGGACUGAGCCAUGGAUGGCGAAUUGGCGGCGAUGGCGGACAUAGAGAAAAAGAAAAUUAAGAACAUCUAGUACUUCUUAGUUUCAAUACAU
This is a non-coding RNA of Clostridium sp. CAG:127, 192 nucleotides long. Lineage: Bacteria; Bacillati; Bacillota; Clostridia; Eubacteriales; Clostridiaceae. The record is from Rfam.